GAGGGUAGAGCUCAGUGGUAGAGCACGUGCUUAGCAUGCACAAGGUCCUGGGUUCAAUCCCCAGCACCUCCA
RNAcentral lists this transfer RNA (72 nucleotides) under Camelus bactrianus (Bactrian camel). It matches the Rfam family "tRNA". From Rfam's summary of the family: Transfer RNA (tRNA) molecules are approximately 80 nucleotides in length. Their secondary structure includes four short double-helical elements and three loops (D, anti-codon, and T loops). Further hydrogen bonds mediate the characteristic L-shaped molecular structure. tRNAs have two regions of fundamental functional importance: the anti-codon, which is responsible for specific mRNA codon recognition, and the 3' end, to which the tRNAs corresponding amino acid is attached (by aminoacyl-tRNA synthetases). tRNAs cope with the degeneracy of the genetic code in two manners: having more than one tRNA (with a specific anti-codon) for a particular amino acid; and 'wobble' base-pairing, i.e. permitting non-standard base-pairing at the 3rd anti-codon position. RNAcentral also lists the same sequence under 2 other names. Lineage: Eukaryota; Metazoa; Chordata; Mammalia; Artiodactyla; Camelidae. The record is from Rfam by way of RNAcentral.